UUGAUUUUACCAAAAAUAAAAUCUUAGGUCAUUAAUUUUAAAAUGCAAGUUCAAGCUUUGAUUACCAUCUUUAUGCCUCACAAAUUUCAAUCUUAGAUCUCGCUAGUUCUCCAAAUACCUUUAAUUUCCGGCUUUUUCUUCGCAUCUACAACUGCGGCCUCAUGAUUUCUUUGAAAUUUUGUUCCGCGUCGUUGCACUGCGAUGAUUCACUGAUCUUCUCAUCAAGCCUUACUAUAAAUUUUAUUAUAUUUCCAUGUUAUCUUCCGAUUGUUAGUUUUGAGUUAAUGUCGGUCUUCCUGCAGAGCGAAGAUUUGGAGUUCAACUUGUAAGUAGCAUUGCAGGUUUUUUCCAUCUAUACCUCACUGUGGAGUUAAGUCGAUUUUGCUCGAAGAGAAGAAAUUGAGUAUAAAGGAUUUCUCCGGCUCGAUCAAUCAAUUGAGCGGAAGACGCCAUGAAUCAGGUAAUUACCAACCAGCAUCAUUGUAUGUGGAAUACAACUUGAUUUUCUUGGCUUCCUGGGCGUUUACUGUCUUUACUUUUGUUUCUGAAGUAUAUAUCAUGAGACACUGGUAGAAUUCUGGCUUAUGAAAUAUUGAGCAUCCUAUUAUAAAUUAUAUGUAAAUUAACCCAUGUCUAUGAUCACAUAAAGAUCAAAUAUUUUACUAAGUUUUCGAAGAA
This is a long non-coding RNA of Dendrobium catenatum, 678 nucleotides long. RefSeq lists it as uncharacterized. The record is from RefSeq and is a predicted model, not a curated record. NCBI's taxonomy places the organism in Eukaryota, Viridiplantae, Streptophyta, Magnoliopsida, Asparagales, Orchidaceae. The transcript is spliced from 2 exons.